RNAcentral lists this transfer RNA (72 nucleotides) under Camelus bactrianus (Bactrian camel). It matches the Rfam family "tRNA". Rfam says of the family: Transfer RNA (tRNA) molecules are approximately 80 nucleotides in length. Their secondary structure includes four short double-helical elements and three loops (D, anti-codon, and T loops). RNAcentral also lists the same sequence under 2 other names. The record is from Rfam by way of RNAcentral. Lineage: Eukaryota; Metazoa; Chordata; Mammalia; Artiodactyla; Camelidae.
GAGGGUAUAGCUCAGUGGUAGAGUGUAUGCCCAGCAUGCAUGAGGUUGUGGGUUCAAUCCCUGGUACCUCCA